GAUGAACGCUGGCGGCGUGCCUAAUACAUGCAAGUCGAGCGAACGGACGAGAAGCUUGCUUCUCUGAUGUUAGCGGCGGACGGGUGAGUAACACGUGGAUAACCUACCUAUAAGACUGGGAUAACUUCGGGAAACCGGAGCUAAUACCGGAUAAUAUUUUGAACCGCAUGGUUCAAAAGUGAAAGACGGUCUUGCUGUCACUUAUAGAUGGAUCCGCGCUGCAUUAGCUAGUUGGUAAGGUAACGGCUUACCAAGGCAACGAUGCAUAGCCGACCUGAGAGGGUGAUCGGCCACACUGGAACUGAGACACGGUCCAGACUCCUACGGGAGGCAGCAGUAGGGAAUCUUCCGCAAUGGGCGAAAGCCUGACGGAGCAACGCCGCGUGAGUGAUGAAGGUCUUCGGAUCGUAAAACUCUGUUAUUAGGGAAGAACAUAUGUGUAAGUAACUCUGCACAUCUUGACGGUACCUAAUCAGAAAGCCACGGCUAACUACGUG
RNAcentral lists this ribosomal RNA (497 nucleotides) under uncultured bacterium. RNAcentral describes it as "partial 16S ribosomal RNA". It matches the Rfam family "Bacterial small subunit ribosomal RNA", at positions 28 to 507 of the family's 1533-position model. The record is from RNAcentral.